Helianthus annuus (common sunflower) is the source of this 526-nucleotide long non-coding RNA. RefSeq lists it as uncharacterized. NCBI's taxonomy places the organism in Eukaryota, Viridiplantae, Streptophyta, Magnoliopsida, Asterales, Asteraceae. The record is from RefSeq and is a predicted model, not a curated record. The transcript is spliced from 2 exons.
GCUAAAUUCAUUGAGAGAAGCAAGUUGUAUGGUUACAUACUUGCCACGUAUAUUUCUAAUAGUCUUUAUCACACAUCCUAUCCUAUAUUUUCAAUUACCCUCAUUUUUCUCUACUCAGACUCCUUCUCAACAAUCUCUAAGACUCACAAACAACUUGUGAAGAACCAAAAAAUACUGCGGUGGACGAUGGUGAUGGACGACGGCGGUGAACGAAGGUGAUGGACGGUGGCAAAUGGACGACAGCGGUAGAUAAAGGCUGCGGGUGACGACUAAGGCGUAGAUGAAGGAGGCUUAGUAUACACGUGGUAUAGCAUGUUUAACUCACUAGUCUUCAAUAUAGAUGAUGAAGAACCCGUUGUUCAUUAACUGCGUUGUUCAUUAACUGCUAUGACCCGUUCUGACCCGUUGGUCACAUGCUAAAAACCCAUUUUGACCCGCUUUUUCAAAUCAAGAAAUUGUUGGAUGUCCAGGUUGACCCGUCCUUUACUUUUGCUAUACCCAAAUGAACCCGAAGGUAGAAAAAAAA